ACUCCUGCGGGAGGCAGCAGUGGGGAAUAUUGCACAAUGGGCGCAAGCCUGAUGCAGCCAUGCCGCGUGUAUGAAGAAGGCCUUCGGGUUGUAAAGUACUUUCAGCGGGGAGGAAGGCAAUACGGUUAAUAACCGUGUUGAUUGACGUUACCCGCAGAAGAAGCACCGGCUAACUCCGUGCCAGCAGCCGCGGUAAUACGGAGGGUGCAAGCGUUAAUCGGAAUUACUGGGCGUAAAGCGCACGCAGGCGGUCUGUCAAGUCGGAUGUGAAAUCCCCGGGCUCAACCUGGGAACUGCAUUCGAAACUGGCAGGCUUGAGUCUUGUAGAGGGGGGUAGAAUUCCAGGUGUAGCGGUGAAAUGCGUAGAGAUCUGGAGGAAUACCGGUGGCGAAGGCGGCCCCCUGGACAAAGACUGACGCUCAGGUGCGAAAGCGUGGGGAGCAAACAGGAUUAGAAACCCCAGUAGUCCCAU
RNAcentral lists this ribosomal RNA (472 nucleotides) under uncultured organism. Its description in RNAcentral is "partial 16S ribosomal RNA". It matches the Rfam family "Bacterial small subunit ribosomal RNA", at positions 335 to 798 of the family's 1533-position model. The record is from RNAcentral.